AGCUCCAAUAGCGUAUAUUAAAGUUGUUGCGGUUAAAAAGCUCGUAGUUGGAUUUCUGUUGAGAAGAACCAGUCCGCAUUUUGUGCGUGUAUUUGGUUUCGUCUUGGCAUCCUUUCAAGGAACGUUUCUGUGAUUCAGUUCAUGGAGCGGCACUUUGAAACUUUUACUUUGAGGAAAUUAGAGUGUUCACGGCAGGCAAUCGCCUUGAAUAUAUUAGCAUGGAAUAAUAAUAUAGGAUCUUGGGUCUAUUUUGUUGGUUUCUAGAGCUAAGAUAAUGAUUAAUAGGGACAAUUGGGGGCAUUCGUAUUAACACGUCAGAGGUGGAAUUCUUAGAUUGUGUUACGACGAACUACUGCGAAAGCAUUUGCCAAGGAUGUUUUCA
This 382-nucleotide ribosomal RNA is filed under the name uncultured eukaryote. RNAcentral describes it as "SSU rRNA". It matches the Rfam family "Eukaryotic small subunit ribosomal RNA", at positions 587 to 972 of the family's 1831-position model. The record is from RNAcentral.